GCUUUGCUGACUUUACAGCAGGAGACAGAUAGUUAGUCCUGCUCUGUUCCCUUUGCUGCUAUUAAACAGCGAGGUGCCCUGCAGUUUGCAGACAAGGCUUCUGAACAAAACACAGGGUAAAAAGUAAGAGAAAAGAAGGCAGCACAGCACAGGCAAGGACAUGGGAUAAAAUUGUAUUGGAGAAAAUAAGCCUUAUUAGGAGUUCAAGUGUCUAAAUCCUUAUUUCAUAUAAUAAAGAAGAUAGAUAUUAAAAGUU
This is a long non-coding RNA of Pezoporus flaviventris, 256 nucleotides long. RefSeq lists it as uncharacterized. The transcript is spliced from 2 exons. The record is from RefSeq and is a predicted model, not a curated record. Lineage: Eukaryota; Metazoa; Chordata; Aves; Psittaciformes; Psittacidae.